Coturnix japonica (Japanese quail) is the source of this 2552-nucleotide non-coding RNA. The record is from RefSeq and is a predicted model, not a curated record. Lineage: Eukaryota; Metazoa; Chordata; Aves; Galliformes; Phasianidae.
AUCUGGUUGGCUGAGCUUUCACUUCUGUCCACCAGGGAGCACCUCUGCCAGCAGUGCUCGAGGAAAUUACACCAGCAAGAAAGGAGUUGGUAUCUCCAAACUGCCUCAGCUGUUCCUUCGCUGACAAAGUGAUCAACCUUAUUGCAAUUGAGGACAAACAGGAUCAAAACUAUGCUUCAGUUCAUCUCCCUCAGAUGUACUGUACACCUCCUCUGACAUAAAGAUUUGCAAAGAGAUCCCUCCUUGUGCCUUUGUACAGUUACCAUGACCACCCUUCAAGAAGAAAAAAAUGGAUUCUAUCGUGUUUGUACAUGCCUUAGCUGUAGCUCAUUCUAUUGCUGGUGUUGUUCUCUCCUGUGCCUGUACUGUGGCUUAGGGUCAAUCUGCAAGUAUCUAUUCAUGCUUUCCUUUUGAUGUCACACAAAAUUUUGGUUGGCUGUGUAAAGGUAGAAAUCCUAGGAUGAUCCCUGUACAGGCAGAUUGUACAGGGUGGGGGGGCCUGUAUAUGGACAGGGUGGGGGGACCUGGCUUGAAUUCCAUAGAAAUUAAAGAAGGGAGGAACCCUUACUUCAGAGGUGGAAGUGGGGAGUGAUUUACCAGGUAUAGGCAGGGCUUGGGAGGAGUUUGGUAGAAUUGGGGAAAGGCUUUCACUUAUCAGUUGCACAUUGAAAAGGAAGAAACUCCUGGAAUUCCAGACCUCAAACCUUCAGAUAAGAAGCUGGACCAAUCAUUACAAAGAAAAACUUAUUCAAACAGACUUGACUAUACACUGCGCAUGUCCAAGAAGAAGUGAAAAACAAGAAAACAUUCAAGGAAUUAGCAUAGGACAACCCACUGUCUAGAGUGAGUUAGCACUACUUGCUUAGCGGAGAAAUGAGUGUGAAUUUUGUGUGGUAUAAAUAUGAUUGCUUGAGAGACACUAGUUGUGCAAUUGGAGUGGCACAAGCCUCACCUUCCCUCCCCCCCCAUUGCUCUGGUGUAUACACCUUAAGUAAACUACCUUACAUUCUGACUCUUGUGAGUCUGAGUGCUGUUCCACAGGUCAAGGCUUAGAAAGUGGCAUGGGUUUUUUACCUCUAAAGAUUCCAAUAUUAAGAACAUUUAUUAAGUGAAAGCUCUUUCACAAGCUUUUCUACCAUCUUUAAAAUGUAAGGACUUUGUUACUUAUUAUGAUGAUGCCACAGAAGGAAGUGACCAGACUACUCUUUCUGUCAGGACCAUUGUCUCUCUGAAUCUGAUCACAUUCUCUUUCUCAAUUUUUACUGUUGCAAAACAAUGCACUUGCAAUUGAAAAGGACUCUCGAAUCCUCUGUGGCUGCCAAUAAAACCUAGAUUCAUUAUGGUAUUAUCUGAAUGUCUGGCUGGUAUCAGCUCUCUAUUUUACCCUACCUUGCUUCUGUGUAACACUCUGUGGUGCAUGCUGGCAAAAGUGGACUGAUUUUAACAAAAAGAAAGUGUGGUUUACUCCAAACCUUUCUGUGAAGCACAGAACUUUUGUAGUACCUGUUCCAUCUGCCUGGCCAAUAGCAUUGUUUAGCAUAUUAAAAGAACUCUUGUAGCACGUUCCAUACCUUGAGGACCUCUUGUUAACAUACAGACAGAUUUCAUCUGAAUGCUUAAAUGUUCUUACCUAGAAUAUGUACUUGUAAUUUUUGACAUGUUCUCAGGUUGAGAUAAAAUGAGGUUUCUUUCUGCUAACAUUCUGAUGCCUCUGCAGCUGCCAUCAAACUUUUAGAGAGCCUUAAUACUUCAUAUUUAUAUUUAUUAUAUUAAUUCAUUUGUUUUACUACUUAAUAAUUUGGUGUUUCUCUUACUUUAUGUAGUGAUUGAGUCUUCCAUUUCAUGAGCCAAGUGAUUAAGAAUAAUUACAAUGCUUUAGUCAUUAAUCAGCAUUUGCACAGCACCUACCAUCUUCAAUCCAGAGAUCCAGAGGUGCAGUAAAAAGAAGAAAAUCCAGCUUGACAUGGAAAUCAGCUGAAAUAUAUAUAUAUAUUUAAAAAAAGAACUGAAAAGGACAGAUGCACUGCUGCUAGCAUUGAUGCAUAUGUGAAGUACAGCAAAUGGGAAACAUCAUCUCUUUCCUCACAAAAUUCCUUACUCUACACCUGAAGCAUUGCAUAAACUUGACCUAUGAUUUAGUAUUAAACACUGUGGAGUCUAGAUGAAACAUGUAAGAAAAAUCUGUCCAUUCACAAGUAAAGGCAGCUUUUCCAGGGCCUGUCUGCAAAAUGUCACUUUCUGAAACCAGGAGACUGGGUCAAGAUGCCCCAAGAGGCACCGACAAAAAACUCUCUCUGUCCCAGGUAGAUAGAAAGAACUACAUCAGGUACUUGUAAUCAUCAACUGCCACCACGUAUGAUAUGCCAUUGGGUACAUGCAUCUCAGCUAAAAAGAACAGUGCAGAGAAAAGUUCUGCCUUCAGUAAACUUAACACAGAUUUUGGAUCCUAAACCUUCUUAUCUGAAUUUGAAUGGGCUGUGGUCACAAAGACAAAGGCCAAUUAUACAAUCUCCAACCAAGCAAAUUAGAUUCAUUUUGAAUGGCUUAUUUGA